AUCCCCAGGGAGCCGUAUUAGAUUCUGAUUCCGCAGGGCUAGGAAGGGGCCCUGAGAUUCUGCAUUUCUCACAAGCUCUCAGGUGAUGC
Molecule: microRNA precursor, 89 nt
Filed under: Echinops telfairi (small Madagascar hedgehog)
Lineage: Eukaryota; Metazoa; Chordata; Mammalia; Afrosoricida; Tenrecidae
Description: miRNA (ENSETEG00000025178.1)
Source: RNAcentral